GACGAACGCUGGCGGCGUGCUUAACACAUGCAAGUCGAACGGAAAGACACUACUUUUGUGGGCUGCUCGAGUGGCGAACGGGUGAGUAACACGUGAGUAACCUGCCCUAGACUUUGGGAUAAGUUCAGGAAACGGGGGCUAAUACCGGAUAGGAGCCCCUGCUGCAUGGUGAGGGUUGGAAAGUUUCUGCGGUAGGGGAUGGACUCGCGGCUUAUCAGCUUGUUGGUGGGGUAGUGGCUUACCAAGGCAUUGACGGGUAGCCGGCCUGAGAGGGGGACCGGCCACAAUGGGACUGAGAGACGGCCCAGACUCCUACGGGAGGCAGCAGGGGGGAAUAUUGCACAAUGGGCGGAAGCCUGAUGCAGCGACGCCGCGUGCGGGAUGACGGCCUUCGGGUUGUAAACCGCUUUCGGCUGAGACGAAGCGGGAGUGACGGUACCGGGAGAAGAAGCACCGGCUAACUACGUG
This 468-nucleotide ribosomal RNA is filed under the name uncultured bacterium. RNAcentral describes it as "partial 16S ribosomal RNA". It matches the Rfam family "Bacterial small subunit ribosomal RNA", at positions 28 to 507 of the family's 1533-position model. The record is from RNAcentral.